Molecule: ribosomal RNA, 253 nt
Filed under: uncultured bacterium
Lineage: Bacteria
Description: partial 16S ribosomal RNA
Rfam family: Bacterial small subunit ribosomal RNA
Source: RNAcentral
UACGUGAGCAGCAAGCGUUUGUUCGGAGUUACUGGGCGUAAAGGGUGCGUAGGCGGCUUUUUAAGUUUGGUGUGAAAUCUCCCGGCUCAACUGGGAGGGUGCGCCGAAUACUGAGAGGCUAGAGUGUGGGAGAGGAAAGUGGAAUUCCUGGUGUAGCGGUGAAAUGCGUAGAUAUCAGGAGGAACACCGGUGGUGUAAACGGCUUUCUGGACCAUAACUGACGUGAGGCACGAAAGCGUGGGUAGCAAACAGG